This 497-nucleotide ribosomal RNA is filed under the name uncultured bacterium. Its description in RNAcentral is "partial 16S ribosomal RNA". It matches the Rfam family "Bacterial small subunit ribosomal RNA", at positions 28 to 507 of the family's 1533-position model. The record is from RNAcentral.
GAUGAACGCUGGCGGCGUGCCUAACACAUGCAAGUCGAGCGAAAAGACGAGGAGAGCGUGCCCUUGAGGGUAGCGAGGGACGGGCGAGUAAGACGUGGAUAAGCAACUACUAAGACGGGGAGGACAACGGGAAACAGGAGACAAUAAUGGAGAAUACAAUGAACGGGAGGGAGCAAUAGAGAAAGGCGGUUUUGGUGAAUGAAAUAGAGGGAGCCGGGCCGCAUUAGCUAGUUGGUAAGGGAACGGCUUACCAAGGCGACGAUGCGUAGCCGACCUGAGAGGGUGAUCGGCCACACUGGAACUGAGACACGGUCCAGACUCCUACGGGAGGCAGCAGUAGGGAAUCUUCCGCAAUGGGCGAAAGCCUGACGGAGCAACGCCGCGUGAGUGAUGAAGGUCUUCGGAUCGUAAAACUCUGUUAUUAGGGAAGAACAAAUGUGUAAGUAACUAUGCACGUCUUGACGGUACCUAAUCAGAAAGCCACGGCUAACUACGUG